RNAcentral lists this transfer RNA (65 nucleotides) under Acanthoparyphium sp. WAK-2018. RNAcentral describes it as "tRNA-Lys". Lineage: Eukaryota; Metazoa; Platyhelminthes; Trematoda; Plagiorchiida; Himasthlidae. The record is from RNAcentral.
CUAGUGAUAGCUUAAAAGUAAAGCUCGGAAUUCUUACUUCCGUGAUGUCCUUUGGACUCAAUAGG